This 484-nucleotide ribosomal RNA is filed under the name uncultured bacterium. RNAcentral's name for it is "partial 16S ribosomal RNA". It matches the Rfam family "Bacterial small subunit ribosomal RNA", at positions 30 to 507 of the family's 1533-position model. The record is from RNAcentral.
AUUGAACGCUGGCGGCAGGCCUAACACAUGCAAGUCGAGCGGAUGAAGGGAGCUUGCUCCUGGAUUCAGCGGCGGACGGGUGAGUAAUGCCUGGGAAUCUGCCUGGUAGUGGGGGAUAACGUCCGGAAACGGGCGCUAAUACCGCAUACGUCCUGAGGGAGAAAGUGGGGGAUCUUCGGACCUCACGCUAUCAGAUGAGCCUAGGUCGGAUUAGCUAGUUGGUGGGGUAAAGGCCUACCAAGGCGACGAUCCGUAACUGGUCUGAGAGGAUGAUCAGUCACACUGGAACUGAGACACGGUCCAGACUCCUACGGGAGGCAGCAGUGGGGAAUAUUGGACAAUGGGCGAAAGCCUGAUCCAGCCAAGCCGCGUGUGUGAAGAAGGUCUUCGGAUUGUAAAGCACUUUAAGUUGGGAGGAAGGGCAGUAAGUUAAUACCUUGCUGUUUUGACGUUACCAACAGAAUAAGCACCGGCUAACUUCGUG